RNAcentral lists this ribosomal RNA (465 nucleotides) under Exiguobacterium undae. Its description in RNAcentral is "bacterial SSU rRNA". It matches the Rfam family "Bacterial small subunit ribosomal RNA", at positions 291 to 748 of the family's 1533-position model. Lineage: Bacteria; Bacillati; Bacillota; Bacilli; Caryophanales. The record is from RNAcentral.
CCUGAGAGGGUGAUCGGCCACACUGGGACUGAGACACGGCCCAGACUCCUACGGGAGGCAGCAGUAGGGAAUCUUCCACAAUGGACGAAAGUCUGAUGGAGCAACGCCGCGUGAGUGAUGAAGGUUUUCGGAUCGUAAAACUCUGUUGUAAGGGAAGAACAGGUAUGAGAGGUAAUGCUCAUGCUAUGACGGUACCUUGCGAGAAAGCCACGGCUAACUACGUGCCAGCAGCCGCGGUAAUACGUAGGUGGCAAGCGUUGUCCGGAAUUAUUGGGCGUAAAGCGCGCGCAGGCGGCCUUUUAAGUCUGAUGUGAAAGCCCCCGGCUCAACCGGGGAGGGUCAUUGGAAACUGGAAGGCUUGAGUACAGAAGAGAAGAGUGGAAUUCCAUGUGUAGCGGUGAAAUGCGUAGAGAUGUGGAGGAACACCAGUGGCGAAGGCGACUCUUUGGUCUGUAACUGACGCUG